Molecule: long non-coding RNA, 863 nt
Organism: Gasterosteus aculeatus aculeatus (three-spined stickleback)
Lineage: Eukaryota; Metazoa; Chordata; Actinopteri; Perciformes; Gasterosteidae
Source: Ensembl
CACCAAGUGUGCAAGCGUUUACUGAGUUUGUUCCUGAGCUGCCUGUGCCGGCCCGGUUUACCUGACUCUAACUCGAGUUUUUACGUUCCCCUUUUUGGGGAUUUGUUUGCCUGUUGGACUGAUCUCCCGAUUUUGACUCUGAACACACGAGUGAAGAACUUCACUUGCGUUUCUGUUUCCAGAUUGCUAAUUUGACUCAAAGUAGCUCCACAUGUUGCUCUCCUCCCUGGAAAAAAUGACAGUGAUUGAUCUCCUGUAAUUUUUCCCUCCAGGUGAACGAAAUCAACCAAGUGCAGUUUCAUUUGGGAAAUUAAUUUUCUGGCUGCCUCUUGACGUGACAUGGUGGUGUGACACCGAGUGAUGGUCUUUGUUGCUGUAGCAUACAGUAAGAGGUAACUUCAAGUGGGCUAUCCGGACUCCGUGAAUGGCCUGCUGGCAUUUACAUAGUAUUUAGAGAGUCCCAAAAAAAAGGAUCACCCUACACUUGUUGAACAUGCUCUUAUCUUUGAAAAUAACACCAUGUACAAAUUCAUCUCUGACCUUUUUCAGAAACGUAAUUUCAUCGCUAUCUGUGUGGCCAAAAGGGGCAGGGCUAGAGAUAAGACAAUAGCCCUCUCUGAUUGUUACAGCAAUUCCAUUAGUCUAAAGUAGGCUAAUCCUGGCUUUAAUGCAGUUUUCUCAUACAUAAUGCAUUAUGUAAAUUGCUAUGAUAUAAAUAUCUUAAUCAUGUAUGUUCUAAAUGAUGAGUCGCUGCAGGCUGCUUCACAGCAGCUACCGCCUGAUUGUGCGAUAUCCCUUCCUCUGCACCUAUUCUGAUGUUUCAACAGUCUACGUGACCUGAAUAGACGAGGAUUACUUGUUAC